RNAcentral lists this unclassified non-coding RNA (435 nucleotides) under uncultured Acaulospora. RNAcentral's name for it is "sequence contains ITS1". The stretch from base 1 to 105 matches the Rfam family "5.8S ribosomal RNA", at positions 50 to 154 of the family's 154-position model. Lineage: Eukaryota; Fungi; Glomeromycota; Glomeromycetes; Diversisporales; Acaulosporaceae. The record is from RNAcentral.
GAAAUGCGAUAAGUAAUGUGAAUUGCAGAAUACUGUGAGUCAUCAAAUCCUUGAACGCAAAUGGCGCCUGUUAGCUCUCUAACAGGCACUCCUGUUUGAGUGUCGUUUUACCUUACUCAAAAAAGAAACUUCAAACCUUUCUUUUUUUGGAUGAUGAGUGUUCAAAAUGUUCUUUCCCCCCUCACACCCUCUCUUUAUGGUCGGGGCACGGGGGGGUGGAAUUUUAUUAUUGAUCACUUGAAAUAUACACAAAAAAGGUGGGGCAAUUUUCCUUCCUAAAAUUAAUUUUUAUCCCCAAGUGAAUUUGGAGAAUCACCUUCGUUUUUCUUGAGGAUUCAAUAAAUAAUUUUAAGGAGCUAGAAAACCAACCACAUCAGGAACAAAAAUUUAACCAAAAUCGACCUCAAAUCAGGUGAGAAUACCCGCUGAACUUAA